GAUAGAAUUUUACAACCUUUAUCCGCCCGGGGACUACAAGCAUCAGCUUGAAACCCAAAGGACUUGGCGGUGCUUUAGAUCCACCUAGAGGAGCCUGUUCUAGAACCGAUAACCCCCGUUCAACCUCACCUCCCCUUGUUAAUUCCGCCUAUAUACCACCGUCGUCAGCUUACCCUGUGAGGGUCUAAUAGUAAGCUAAACUGGUACAGCCCUAAACGUCAGGUCGAGGUGUAGCGUAUGAGGAGGGAAGAAAUGGGCUACAUUCGCUACAAUUAGCGAACACGAAUGAUGUCCUGAAACGUACAUCUGAAGGAGGAUUUAGCAGUAAGUAGAAAAUAGAGUGUUC
This 346-nucleotide ribosomal RNA is filed under the name Gasterosteus wheatlandi (blackspotted stickleback). RNAcentral describes it as "partial 12S ribosomal RNA". It matches the Rfam family "Bacterial small subunit ribosomal RNA", at positions 844 to 1359 of the family's 1533-position model. Lineage: Eukaryota; Metazoa; Chordata; Actinopteri; Perciformes; Gasterosteidae. The record is from RNAcentral.